AUGAGGAAGAAAAAAUGGCCAGGGAACCCUUGUUGUUCCUUUUGCAAGGAGAUAGAAACUUCGAAACAUCUUUUCUUUACUUGCCCAGUUGCUAGGGUGGUUUGGAGAUCUAUUGGGAUGGUUCUAGGCACUGACAAGUGCCCGAACAAUUGUUGGCAGUAUUUUGCUUGGUGCAAUAGAUUUCUUCCUGGUAAAGAAGCUUUCUAUACUGUGGGAUUAGCUGCUAAUAGUUGGGCUAUUUGGCUGGCACGCAACCAGGCCACCUUUGAGAAAAAACAGAUUAAGACUCCUUUUACGAUUGUUUUCUCUCUAUGUUCGUUUCUUUUAUACUGGACAGGAUUGCAGAAGGGAGAAGCGGCUGGGGAGCUUUGA
Molecule: ribosomal RNA, 372 nt
Filed under: Triticum aestivum (bread wheat)
Lineage: Eukaryota; Viridiplantae; Streptophyta; Magnoliopsida; Poales; Poaceae
Description: partial small subunit ribosomal RNA
Source: RNAcentral